This 487-nucleotide ribosomal RNA is filed under the name uncultured bacterium. RNAcentral describes it as "bacterial SSU rRNA". It matches the Rfam family "Bacterial small subunit ribosomal RNA", at positions 501 to 987 of the family's 1533-position model. The record is from RNAcentral.
CUACGUGCCAGCAGCCGCGGUAAUACGUAGGUGGCAAGCGUUGUCCGGAAUUAUUGGGCGUAAAGCGCGCGCAGGCGGAUAGGUCAGUCUGUCUUAAAAGUUCGGGGCUUAACCCCGUGAUGGGAUGGAAACUGCCAAUCUAGAGUAUCGGAGAGGAAAGUGGAAUUCCUAGUGUAGCGGUGAAAUGCGUAGAUAUUAGGAAGAACACCAGUGGCGAAGGCGACUUUCUGGACGAAAACUGACGCUGAGGCGCGAAAGCCAGGGGAGCGAACGGGAUUAGAUACCCCGGUAGUCCUGGCCGUAAACGAUGGGUACUAGGUGUAGGAGGUAUCGACCCCUUCUGUGCCGGAGUUAACGCAAUAAGUACCCCGCCUGGGGAGUACGACCGCAAGGUUGAAGCUCAAAGGAAUUGACGGGGGCCCGCACAAGCGGUGGAGUAUGUGGUUUAAUUCGACGCAACGCGAAGAACCUUACCAGGUCUUGACAU